CUCAAUCCUACGUGGGCUCCAAAAAAAAAAAAUUAAAUACAAAAAUAUAAGCAGGUCUGUGUCCUUCUCCUACCUGCCCUUCUAUAGCAUACUCUCCAUCUUUUAGGCUGGUGAGAGUCUGGAUAUAGGACAUCCCUUGCUUCAGAUAGCCUGCCAGGGCUGGGUACCAGUAGAUGUGCCCCCCCCCCCGAAGUGCGCUGAGAAACCCUGCCCUAUAAUUUUGCAUCACGGCUCCCAAUUUGGUCAAAGACGAGUUCUACUCCUUUAAGUGCCAAGAAGAGGUCUUAUUCUGUCCUGCGCCAGAAGACACUGAACGUGUGCCUGCAUCUGAAGUAAAAGCCAGCAGACACAGCCAACAUUCCUUUCUGAAGCUUCCCUUUCAAGAGAGCUGCUUCAUUCUGAUUGGGAGCUUUCUCCUGCAAGGAGGGGAGGGAGAAUGGGAGGGAGCCGACUGUGGACUGAGACUUAAGGAAUGGGAGGCUCCGCUUCACACAGUCGUCUCCUUCAAGCCCUCUACAUUCCAGCCAAGCUGGGCCCCUGGCUGCUUCCUGAUUUCUUUCCUGUUCUCUCCUGCCUCUUCUUUUCUUUCAAGGCCAGUCCAGUUACUGCCUCCUCUAUGAAGUUUUCCCUCUUGGCCUAAAUCAUUU
RNAcentral lists this long non-coding RNA (647 nucleotides) under Phascolarctos cinereus (koala). Its description in RNAcentral is "lncRNA (ENSPCIG00000012104.2)". Lineage: Eukaryota; Metazoa; Chordata; Mammalia; Diprotodontia; Phascolarctidae. The record is from RNAcentral.